This 407-nucleotide ribosomal RNA is filed under the name uncultured bacterium. Its description in RNAcentral is "partial 16S ribosomal RNA". It matches the Rfam family "Bacterial small subunit ribosomal RNA", at positions 28 to 526 of the family's 1533-position model. The record is from RNAcentral.
GACGAACGCUGGCGGCGUGCCUAAUACAUGCAAGUAGGACGAAGUUGCGAACGUGUGAGUAACGCAUAGGUAAUUGCCUAUGAGAGGGGGAUAACUAUCGGAAACGAUAGCUAAUUCCGCAUACUAGUAGAUGGACCUGCGUUGUAUUAGCUAGUAGGUAGGGUAAUGGCCUACCUAGGCGACGAUACAUAGCCGACCUGGGAGGAUGAGCGGCCACACUGGGACUGAGACACGGCCCAGACUCCUACGGGAGGUAGCAGUAGGAAAUCUUCGGCAAUGGGGGGAAGCCUGACGGAGCAACGCCGCGUGAGUGAAGAAGGUAUUCGGGUCGUAAAGCUCUGUUGUUAAGGACGCGGUACUGGACCAGAAAGGGACGGCUAACUACGUGCCAGCAGCCGCGGUAAUUC